This is a long non-coding RNA of Entelurus aequoreus (snake pipefish), 1188 nucleotides long. RefSeq lists it as uncharacterized. The record is from RefSeq and is a predicted model, not a curated record. Lineage: Eukaryota; Metazoa; Chordata; Actinopteri; Syngnathiformes; Syngnathidae. The transcript has 3 exons.
UAUGACCCCUGCUAUGGGUGGUGAGCCCAUUGGAGGGGGAACCCACAUUGCCUCUUCGGGCUGUGCCCGGCCGGGACCCAUGGGGACAGGCCCGGCCACCAGGCGCUCGCCAUCGACCCCCCCUCUGGCUCCAGAGUGGGGCCCCGGUGACCCGCGUCCGGGCGAGGGAAAUCUGGGUCCAUAGGUUUUAUUUUUCAUUGAGGUCUUCGAGCUGCUCUUUGUCUGAUCCCUCACCUAGGACCAGUUUGUCUUGGGAGACCCUACCAGCAAUCACUGUGUUUGAUUUAAAUAGCACCUCAGUGUUUGACUCAUUGUGUGGCUGGCUCCCUGCUGGGAAAGGUCUGCUUCCAUCAGGCGGUAAGUGUGUUGCUCCACUGAAAUAUAGUUUGUAAAUUAGUCUGCUAAAUGUGUAAGAUGUUUGAUUCAUUGAAUGCUGUGAUUUAUUGAACUUUGCACUGAUCAGAGGUUUCUCUGCUCUAUGUUCCAGGCAAUUUAGGAGACCUGAUCAAGGCAUGAGAAAUGCGAUAAUAAUUUGUUUGUUUAAAUGAUAGCCCCAACCGGGAGGAACUUAAGUUAACCUGCAUUCCAAAAAAGUGACUGAAUAAAGCAACGCUGCUGCGUUUGAACCCUAACAGAACUGUCUCUGGGAGCUGGGUCUGCCAGCGCUUCCGCUGGCAGCGCGCCGAGACACGCCCCUGCUCGCGCUGGCCGCGUCACGCUCACAUGCCGGCAAGGCUGUGGGCGAUCAGUAAUCUUCACACCUGGGACUGAUGAGGGCAAGCGUUAUAAGGACCAAUGGACCCAAGGAUCCUUGCGGGAACUUAGUUCUCUAUUGUGUACUUGCUUUCCCGAGUUUUACCCGUUGUGAUCUCCUGUCGUUCCCCUCUGGAUUUGGACUGCCUUCCUCGAUCCUCGACCCUCGCCUGGACACGGACCUUGUCGCUUCUCUCUUGCCCUCGACUGCUUGCCUGUUCACGGACUGCCCUCCUGCUUUGUCCCUCUUCUCGCUCUACUCAACACUUGGUAACACACACUUCAGCUAACCAUACACAUAGCCUCUCACACACACACUCUUGGGUUUUGUCACACACACCAUUCUAUAGUUUUAGUUAGUAUUGUUUAUUAUUAUUAUAUAUAUAUAUUGGCUAUAUAUAUAAUAAAUCAUAGAACUUUACUUCCCCCUGGUGU